ACAUUCCCAUCAUCUAUUCUGCCUUUCAGUGACCAGUGAUGCUGUCUUGGAGCACACGUCAACACACUUAUCUUCAGGUAAGUGGAAAGAUUAGCCCAUAGGCUUUGAUCCCUCCAGGUCCUGUUCCUUCACCUGUUCAUAUGUCUGGAACUCUAAGAGAAGAUACUCAAGUUAGAAGCCCAGGAUCCAGUAGUUUUGGCCUUGAUUCCUAGAAUGUGAAAACCCUUAGGCCUCGGUGUCCAGAAUGGCAUUCCAAAUGGACAACCUUGGAAUAUUCCAAAAGACAUGGACAUGAGCCACAAAUCUGGGGCCUCAGAAUAGGUCACAAGGAGGAGUCAUAAUGGUGGGUCCUUCUAUGGUUCCCAUGACACCUAGAGAAGAACUGUAAAUUUAAUUCCGUGACUCUUGUUUUCAUGAUGGCUGAUCUUAGUCAGGAGCAGAGCAGGCCUGUUUUUCGUCCCUCCCGGCUCCCGCCUGCCUAGCUUUACACACGAAAUAACUACACACAAAUUGUCUUCAUUUAAACACUGCUUGUCCCAUUAGAUCUAGCCUCUUACCAGCUAAAUCUCACAUCUUGAUUAACCCAUUUCUAUUAAUGUGUGUAGCAACACGAGGUGGUGGCUUACCGGGAAGAUUCUAACCUAAGUCCAUCUUGGACCAGAGCUUCAUCGGGUCUGCCUCACUUCCCUCCUUCCUAGCAUUCUGUUCUGCCUACUCCGCUCACCUGAUUUUCUGUCCUAUCAAAAGGCCAAGAAACUUUCUUUAUUAAAUAACCAAUGAAAGUGACACAUAGACAGAUGACCCUCCUACAUCAGUGAUGAUCCUGAUUGGGACUGCCCGAGAAAGAAGUUCUAGUCAGCUUUGGCAGUGGCUUUCGAAACUAAUAACUUGCUGUAAUGGACUUUCGGAAUGAAUGGCCUUUUGGCAUGUCCGGGACACAUUUGGGGGUCCAGAGUUCUUUCCCUGCACUAAUUCCACACAGGGAAAACUAGUUUAUCAAAUCGCACCUAGGCACCCUCAACCUUACCUCUUCUACCUGUGAUUUACUGAACUUUACCUACCUUUCCAGCAAGGCAAAACGGGAGACUAUUCUGGAUGCUCUAUUAAGAUAGAUGGUCUCUUCAUGGCGCUUGAGCCACGAAGGCAGCCUGAUUUUGAGAAGUUUGUAGCACAUGUCAGAGGCUCUGCCUAUCAUGCAUAGCCCCAGGCAUAGCCAUCUUCCCUGGAAGACAUUGCCUUCAACAUUCUGCCUAGGACUAGGAAUAUCCCCAGAGACACAGAGCAGGCCAGACCUAACUCUGCCUCUGGAUGGUCAUUAACAACUCUCAGGUAUGUCCUUUUUUUCAACAGCUGGUAUUUGUUGUUUAGACAGCUGGGAUAAAGUAACAAAUGGAUUAAGGGAUAUUUAGAAAUGAUAGUACAUACAGUCUGAAAAGUUGUGUUGAGGGGUUUAGGGAAUGAUUUUUCUAUCGUUCUAUUGAUGUAAUGGGGAUGUAUGUGGGCAUUGAAUCCUUUUAACAGAGAUAGAUAUGUAAGUCUGCAUGGAGCCUACCUCUUGUGUGACUUACUACUGUUGCACAAGUCUCCAAUGGCCUAACAACAUUGAUCAGUUCCUGUCUUCUCUUUUUUCUUUCGGAGAUCUGAGCUUCCUCUUGGACCCCACCACAUAAUACCUUUCAGAGAUCUAAGACUGGAAAAUUCAUUUCAGAAAAUACAGACAAUCGGAAAUCAGUUCUCCUCAUGGCACCACUGGAAGGUGAUGGAAGUUCAACUGCCACAACCCUGGGAAGGCCUGCUUAUUGUGUGACUAAAGAACACAAGGCACAGUAGCCAUCCUUUCUGCAACACUGAUGCAACACUGAUCGAGUGCCUUGGAAAAUAGCUGAUUAAACAAGAUGAUGGCAACACAAGGGGAGACUUUGGAUUGUCUAUUUAAAAUCUAGGAAGGCUCUGAAACUUGACUUAAACCAGUCAUCUAAGAAGGCAUCGUUGCGGGUUAUGGAGAAAGCAGAUAAAUCGCGGAGUCUCAAUGGAGAAACAAACUACUCUUAUGGGUAGACCCCAUUUCUAUCAGUAGAUGGCCAAUACAAAACUAAGUCAAUGGAUCUACAGAGGUUCUUCCUCUCACAACGAGUCUCUCUUUGGCCUACAAGACGGAAGAUCAGCACAGGCUGUACUGUCAGGAAGCCCCAGGCAUCUGCCAGUACCUGACUAUCUACCAUCAAGAUUGCAAGGCCUUUGUUAACAAAGUUUUGAGGAUUAAUCUCAGGUCUACUUUUCAAAAUGACAGGAUCACAACCAAGUGUGAUCAACGAGAACUAUUCUUAUGAAAAAAGCACAAGAUUUAAAACACAACAGUGGUACAUGGCAAGAAAGACAAGAGCAAACAAUAAAGCUGACUCAUCAGUUCAUCGGGAUCUUUGUAGAUACUGCUUGCCGUAAACCUCCUUUCUGUUACUAAACUGACGUAACUUGCAAUCAGUAAUGCUGAUGGGGAUCCUCAAUUAAGGUUCCUAUUCUGUGACUGAGGAAAAGCAAACUCUGAAGUUAAAGCUUCUGAUGAGGCUACUACUACUGCAAUCUGUUACCAUGACUCAGGUCCUCACAGCCCUAACAAAGCAAUUGGAAAUUAUUAGAGGCAAUUAAAAAUAAACAGUGGGUAAAAGCUAAGAAAGUAAAGGCCAUAAGCACCAAAACUUACAUACAUUUUCUCCCAGGCAUGAAACUAGGGUCAUAAACUUCCUAGCUUCCCUCACCUUUAUAGUAAAUGUCACUCUCAUCAAAGGCUAUACCCUUUCGAAGCAACAAAGCAAAAGAUAUUUUAUCUUACUGACAAAAGAUGAAUGACAUUUUAUAUGGUAAAAUUUUAGAAAUCAAAUAGCAAAUAAUAAUACUGAAACCAAACAUAACCUCUUUGUUGAAGAGUACUAUACUAUAAUCAUUAGAUCAAUUAUGUAAGGAAUGAUAAUUUUACAGUUAUGUUGACAAUCUAUCCCUAUUUUCACUAUGCCAAGUAUUUCCUUACCUAUACUUAGCAAGUAAAAAUCCUUUUAUAAAAAAUAAUUUAUUUUACAUCCUGGCUGGUUGCCCCUCCCCCUCUUCUCCCAGUCCCUUCCCCCUCAUCCCCUUCUGCUCUGACCCCUGAAUCCACUCCUCAUUUUCUGUUUAGGAAAGGACAGGUCUCCCACAACAAAACAGAAACAGCUGUAGUUGUAUUAACAAGACAAUAGUAUGUAAAAAUCUUUACUAUAAUCACUACAUAUUCUUCAAGGUACUUACUCAACAGUAAGAAACAAUAUAAAAUUCAAGUCAUCAUUGAUGGAACGGCUUCCAGAAGAUGAACUAUGAAGCACUUAACUUUAUAUACUACAAACCUGAUCUGUGGCCUGCUCCAAGAGUUAUCAACACUUGUUUGCUUAAUGAUCUUGAAUUCUUUCCUUAAAAAAAAUAAUUUGUCCUUAUAUGUAUUUAUGAGAAGUAAGGGGUUGGCAGACAUGUGGUGCUGAGAGGGUAACCUGAAGGAGUUGGUUUACUCCUUCCACAGUGUGGUCCCAGACACGAGGCCUGGCGGUAGGUUCCAUGUACCUGGAUGAGCCAGUAUGCCAAUCCAAGCACUAAUUCUUCAGUUUAUUAAGAAUAAGUAAGUAUGAAAGCACUAACAUGGAGCUUAUUUCUCAUUAAUCCAAUGAAAAUAUUAUGGUAUCUUCUUUGACCACUCAAGUAUAUUUAAUUUCUCUAAAGUGUUAGCAAAAACAUAGAAAACAUGUAUGAUGAAUGAACAGUGUGUUAGGAGAUAACAUGUUUGACGUACAGUGUUCUGUUUGAAAUGUUUAAUUGACAACUCUCUUCUCCCUCCCCUACCUCCGUGUGUGUGUGUGUGUGUGUGUGUGUGUGUGUGUGUGCGC
Molecule: long non-coding RNA, 3905 nt
Organism: Microtus ochrogaster (prairie vole)
Lineage: Eukaryota; Metazoa; Chordata; Mammalia; Rodentia; Cricetidae
Exons: 9
Source: RefSeq, a predicted model, not a curated record